Oryza brachyantha (malo sina) is the source of this 1616-nucleotide long non-coding RNA. RefSeq lists it as uncharacterized. The record is from RefSeq and is a predicted model, not a curated record. Lineage: Eukaryota; Viridiplantae; Streptophyta; Magnoliopsida; Poales; Poaceae. The transcript is spliced from 5 exons.
CCGCCUCUCCGCGGCCGCCGCCGCCUCCGCCUCCGGCGGCGCCUCCGCCCCCGCGUCCUCGUCUUCAUCCGCCGACUACUCCUUUGCCCCCUUGAUGAGUCCUCCUCGUCCGACUAUGACGCCGAGCCCUCCCCCACCUUCUCCCUCUUCCUUGCCUUCGCGGAGCAGUUCGUCUCCUGCCCGCAUCCCAAAAUGCCCGCCGUCACGGACGUCGCUGUACUAACGUAGGGAAUUAUUGUAUCAGGGGAAGAGAUUUGAGGACUUGGACAACGAGGACGUCGAGGAGAGCUACGAGCGGUUCCGGCGGCGCGAGCGGCGAGGGGUGGUAAUUGUAACUCUAUCACAUCCAGUAGCAACUUAUCACUUUCAAGACUUAGAACUGCAUGUGAGAACUCAGCCACUGAAUCAUUGUUCUAUAAAAAGGUUCACAGGGUGUGUAUUUUAGAAAUAAAUGUUGCCUAUGAUCAAGCAUCCCUCAAAAUAAUUGACCAUACCAGUUUGCAUGCUUGAGCUAUUUUUGUAGAAUAUUAAAAGAACUUGGGUAUCCAUUAUUGUGAGAGAGGCAUUAUGAGUGUUAUUCUAAAGUAAGAUCCAAAUUAUUGUUUGAUUACUUCAGGAACUUCAUCAAAAUGUUGAGAAAUUACCACAUGCAUAUAUCUCUUUAGCAUAGAUCUAUUUCUCUUGUGAGUUACAAGUAAAGCAAUGGCAACAACGUUUUGUUGGGCUAUGCUUAUAUGCUGUCUGUGCUUUCACUAAAGUUUUGAAGGUUGAAUUCACAUGAAUCUUCAGCAUUUAUGAAAAGAAGUAGACCUUACUUGUAUCCUUGAGAGCUUUCUACAAAAACAAAAUGAUUUAUGAACAUGCCACUUAGUACUGCUAGGAAGCAUGUGAAGUGCACCUAGAAACUUCUUUACCUGUCUAAUUGCACCGAAGUAUCACUUUCGAACCUAUAAGUUUGCCCCUGGAUCUACAUUGUAGCACUCGAUAAGAACCUAAUAAUAUGAUCUCUUCCAGUAUCCUUAGAAAACAUUCAAAGUAGGUAGCAAUACUUACAGCCGAAAUGAGGUCGUUGCCAUGGAAUGUCUGUUUCAGGGGGGUCCUUAACUUCUAGUGCUUUGUCACAACAGCUCACCAUUUCCUCUGAUUCUAUCUGAAGGCUGCAAAUGCAGAUGACAGAGUCGAGGACCUAGCGAAUUCUUCAUGUGGUCUGUACGUCAUGAAGUUUAUGGAGUAUUGGAAUGGAACAAGGAUGUAAGACCGAGCUUGAUGGAAUGAUUACUCCGGGGGAGGGAUCAUUCAAGCAAGGGAGGGAAGCAAUGCGCGCAUACGCGUGUGUAGGAAGCUCACUCCGGUGGAUAUAUAGGUCUUCAGACGCAAGCUUGCGACAAUAUUGGUUGGUUCCACGAUGAAUGAAAACGAUUCAGUCCCUAAAUACAAUCACCAAGGGGUUGGUGUAAAGGGCACAAAAUAGUUGUACUUUCAUACCAUAUUAUUCUCAUAUAAUGUUUGGACUAUCAUGUAUUAUUGAGCACAAAAAACAUUUUUGCCCUUCCUUCGACACUGUUCUUGUACGUCCAACUUUAAAUAUUGUUAAUAAGUAUGAAUAUAAUAUUUAU